CUCAGUAUUCAAUAGGUGCUGAGGACAUUGCUUAGAAAGACAAAACUACAUUGAAGACCUUCGAAAUGGUCCCAUGAGAAAGAAUCAAGAUUCCAGUAUAUCAAGAUCAAGUGGUUUUGAAGACUCAGCACAUAUGAUGGGACCAGUCCACACCCCUUACAGGUCUGUUAACCAAGGACCUAGGCAUAACCUCCACUGGACCCAAGGUUACCCACCACCUUCUCGGCAUUUCUACACCAAGACCCAGGAUUUUCAGCAGUCAGUAAGAACAUUUUCACAGAAUCAGAACGUUUACCAGAGAGGCCAUAUUCCUCCUCCUGGUCCCCCUGGAGAGAACUAUUUACAGAGGAGGUACUCUUGGAACGUAAAGCCAAAUGCCAGUCCAGCAGCCCAGAACAGAAGGUGGUAUCCUGGCAGUUACUACAGACUGCCCUACCCGGCCUAUUGUGGAUGGACGGAGUGACACAGACCUACCCUGGAGAUCUGUCUGGAGACACAGGACUGAAGACGGCUGGAGGGACUUUUUAUAAGAUCAGGUCAAACGAGGUUUAUAAUCUGUUAUUGCUCCCUG
Non-coding RNA from Vicugna pacos (alpaca), 571 nucleotides. The record is from RefSeq and is a predicted model, not a curated record. NCBI's taxonomy places the organism in Eukaryota, Metazoa, Chordata, Mammalia, Artiodactyla, Camelidae.